RNAcentral lists this ribosomal RNA (589 nucleotides) under uncultured bacterium. RNAcentral describes it as "partial 16S ribosomal RNA". It matches the Rfam family "Bacterial small subunit ribosomal RNA", at positions 355 to 1375 of the family's 1533-position model. The record is from RNAcentral.
UGGGGAAUUUUGGACAAUGGGCGAAAGCCUGAUCCAGCAAUGCCGCGUGUGUGAAGAAGGCCUUCGGGUUGUAAAGCACUUUUGUCCGGGAAAGAAAUCCUUGGCUCUAAUACAGUCGGGGGAUGACGGUACCGGAAGAAUAAGCACCGGCUAACUACGUGCCAGCAGCCGCGGUAAUACGUAGGGUGCAAGCGUUAAUCGGAAUUACUGGGCGUAAAGCGUGCGCAGGCGGUUUGCUAAGACCGAUGUGAAAUCCCCGGGCUCAACCUGGGAACUGCAUUGGUGACUGGCAGGCUAGAGUAUGGCAGAGGGGGGUAGAAUUCCACGUGUAGCAGUGAAAUGCGUAGAGAUGUGGAGGAAUACCGAUGGCGAAGGCAGCCCCCUGGGCCAAAUACUGACGCUCAUGCACGAAAAGCGUGGGGGAGCAAACAGGAUUAGAUACCCUGGUAGUCCACGCCCUAAACGAUGUCAACUAGUUGUUGGGGAUUCAUUUCCUUAGUAACGUAGCUAACGCGUGAAGUUGACCGCCUGGGGAGUACGGUCGCAAGAUUAAAACUUAAAUGAAUUGACGGGGUCAUAGCUGUUUCCU